AGUGAACGCUGGCGGUAGGCCUAACACAUGCAAGUCGAACGGCAGCACAGUAAGAGCUUGCUCUUACGGGUGGCGAGUGGCGGACGGGUGAGGAAUACAUCGGAAUCUACUUUUUCGUGGGGGAUAACGUAGGGAAACUUACGCUAAUACCGCAUACGACCUACGGGUGAAAGCAGGGGAUCUUCGGACCUUGCGCGAUUGAAUGAGCCGAUGUCGGAUUAGCUAGUUGGCGGGGUAAAGGCCCACCAAGGCGACGAUCCGUAGCUGGUCUGAGAGGAUGAUCGGCGACACUGGAACUGGGACACGGUCCAGACUCCUACGGGAGGGAGCAGUGGGGAAUAUUGGACAAUGGGCGCAAGCCUGAUCCAGCCAUACCGCGUGGGUGAAGAAGGCCUUCGGGUUGUAAAGCCCUUUUGUUGGGAAAGAAAAGCAGCAGGUUAAUACCCCGCUGUUCUGACGGUACCCAAAGAAUAAGCACCGGCUAACUUCGUG
Molecule: ribosomal RNA, 492 nt
Filed under: uncultured bacterium
Lineage: Bacteria
Description: partial 16S ribosomal RNA
Rfam family: Bacterial small subunit ribosomal RNA
Source: RNAcentral